UUUUAUUUUUUUUGCUAACACUGGAUUUUUUUACCUUCACCGUUGCCAUUAUAAGCUCAAAGUUCGGCUACUGCAAGAAAGACAGAGAUCACCGCUUUUUGCUCAAGUUCUCCCUUUCGCUCGCGGGGCGGUCUGUUCUGCUCUCUAAUUGGUCCGCUUACCUGGCGCCGGAAAUUUGAACAAGUUCGUACAACGGUUCUCAUCUCAGAAGAAGCUGAAUUGUGCUCAAACCUCGACAAAGAAAAGAACGCUGUUUGGACCUCGUCAGCUUUCAACAAAUAAAUGGCUGAGCAAACACUUUUACGCAGUGCUAUCAGUGAAGUGUUGCCCGGUCUUGCAGAGGCUUCAAAAGACAUUCUCGAGGAGACUUUACAGUCAAUUGGAGUAGAAACGUAUGAUGACUUCCAGUUCAUUGUUGAGGAAGACUUGCUGUCAGCAUUAAGAACAAUUCAAGCCAGAAAGGCACUUGCUGCUUGAAAAUUCAGAAGCCAGACCCCUGAAACCAGCAGGUCCUCAAGUAAUGCAUCACCAGAUACUCCUCCAUCACAGCCGUCUUUGUCCCCGCUAAGUGUGUCAUCAAACUCCUCCAGCAGCAACCAGACAUCUGCAGCAGACUGGGUGGACACCUUUGAGAUACCAUGGGAAAAGUUCUCAGAAGAACUGAUGCAGGCAUUAGAGAGAGGUAAACGGCCAAGUCCAAAAAUGAGGAAGGAGAUGGUCAGGAUUGUGGUGUCUGAAAUGAUGCGAAAAAGUUCUUACUUGGGUAAAAGGAGUUCUACAGAGGUUGCAAAGAAGAUGGUGGCAAAAUAUCCAAAAUCUCUACAAGAUGUUAUCGAUGGAGAUGUCAUUGGCCCUGGCUAUCAUUCACUCGUCAAACAACUUCAAUAUCGAAUUGAGAACGUGAAGCGAUCUACAAUGCCUAAAAUA
Long non-coding RNA from Gambusia affinis (western mosquitofish), 927 nucleotides. RefSeq lists it as uncharacterized. The transcript has 3 exons. Lineage: Eukaryota; Metazoa; Chordata; Actinopteri; Cyprinodontiformes; Poeciliidae. The record is from RefSeq and is a predicted model, not a curated record.